AUUGAACGCUGGCGGUAUGCUUUACACAUGCAAGUCGAACGGCAGCACGGGUGCUUGCACCUGGUGGCGAGUGGCGAACGGGUGAGUAAUACAUCGGAACGUACCCAGUCGUGGGGGAUAACGUAGCGAAAGUUACGCUAAUACCGCAUACGUCCUGAGGGAGAAAGCGGGGGACCGUAAGGCCUCGCGCGAUUGGAGCGGCCGAUGGCGGAUUAGCUAGUUGGUGGGGUAAAGGCCUACCAAGGCGACGAUCCGUAGCGGGUCUGAGAGGACGGCCCGCCCCACUGGAACUGAGACACGGUCCAGACUCCUACGGGAGGCAGCAGUGGGGAAUUUUGGACAAUGGGCGAAAGCCUGGUCCAGCCAUGCCGCGUGAGUGAAGAAGGCCUUCGGGUUGUAAAGCUCUUUCGGCAGGGAAGAAACGGCUUGGGAUAAUACCCCGGGCUAAUGACGGUACCUGAAGAAGAAGCACCGGCUAACCACGUGCCAGCAGCCGCGGUAA
This 502-nucleotide ribosomal RNA is filed under the name uncultured bacterium. Its description in RNAcentral is "partial 16S ribosomal RNA". It matches the Rfam family "Bacterial small subunit ribosomal RNA", at positions 29 to 523 of the family's 1533-position model. The record is from RNAcentral.